CUGUUGUUUCCGACUCUUCCAAUAGCAGAAAGAGUUGACACGCGACAAGAGGAGGACACGAUGUGGGCAUCUUUUACGAGUUGUUUGCUGGCGCCUUUCCUUCCGUAACUGGCUCCGGAAUUGACUGACUUGGUCCAAUGCAGUGUUCAAGCUGUCACGUUGCUGCACCAACAACUGCUCCCAUUUCUGGGCAUACGCUGUAACAGAUAACAUUAAUAUCUGUCAGCCUGGAGCCAUAAAUCUAAGAACGAAGGCAGGAGAUUCAGAGUUAAAAUUUUUUGUCACAAAGAUGAUAUUCUGGCUGAUUUGGCAGAGAACCCUGUCACACUCCGGAUUAUUAUACGUCAAUUUACAAAUGCCUGUUUGUGUUUUUUGUUUGUUUUACAUUUAAUAUUUACGCACUAACAAUGAUUCGCUCUGGACACCUUACACGCUUUGUUUUUUAGUCAAUUAUUAUUUAGUCAAUAAUCGCAAGUGUAUAUUGUCAUUAUCGAAUACCUAAGCAACCAUGUGGAUUAAUCGUGAAGCAAGAGAUUAAUUUAAUUAAGAGGAUUUAAGCGUUAUUUUUUGGGGGAUUUUUUUUUUUCUCUUUUGUAACACAGUGAUGAGAACACACAAAUCCUUCUAUUUCACUUAAUAUUUUAUGUUAUUUUCUAAAUACAUGUAUAAUCGUUAAAUAGAAUUGUUUGGAAGAAUAAAUUGUGCACAGCUUUUUAUCAUUGACAUGCUAUUACUAUGACUGGCAUCGUGUAUCAUUCUGUUAUAAUAUAUUGAAUUAGCACAAAGAAAAUACAGCUGUUACAAAGGUAAUCCACACAAAAAUAAUAUUUAUUAACAAUAAUCUUCAUUUUGCAUACAUAACACAUUAAUAAUAUAUCGGCAAUUUAAAGGAUACACAUAGUUACUUUUUCAACGCACCAAUAAUAAUUUUAAAAUAAUUUACCUUUUCGUAUAUUUGUAGCAGUGGCUUAUAUACAGGAAGAAGAAUAAUUUCACGAAAACGCACUAAACAAUGCUUGCGGAAUGCUGUGCAAUGGAAGAAGAGAAAAUUAUAAGAGAAAAGAAAAAAGUUGAGUUUAUCCUGAGAUGACGCUAAUAUAAUCUUGGCUUUUC
Molecule: long non-coding RNA, 1113 nt
Organism: Vespula pensylvanica (western yellowjacket)
Lineage: Eukaryota; Metazoa; Arthropoda; Insecta; Hymenoptera; Vespidae
Exons: 2
Source: RefSeq, a predicted model, not a curated record